RNAcentral lists this transfer RNA (81 nucleotides) under Cytospora mali. Its description in RNAcentral is "tRNA-Ser (CGA) (tRNA-Ser-CGA-2-1)". It matches the Rfam family "tRNA". Rfam says of the family: Transfer RNA (tRNA) molecules are approximately 80 nucleotides in length. Their secondary structure includes four short double-helical elements and three loops (D, anti-codon, and T loops). The record is from RNAcentral. Lineage: Eukaryota; Fungi; Ascomycota; Sordariomycetes; Diaporthales; Cytosporaceae.
GGCAAGAUGGCCGAGCGGUUAAGGCGGUAGACUCGAAAUCUACUCUCUUCGGAGGCGUCGGUUCAAAUCCGGCUCUUGUCG